Molecule: ribosomal RNA, 239 nt
Filed under: uncultured bacterium
Lineage: Bacteria
Description: partial 16S ribosomal RNA
Rfam family: Bacterial small subunit ribosomal RNA
Source: RNAcentral
GAUCCUGGCUCAGGACGAACGCUGGCGGCGUGCCUAACACAUGCAAGUCGAGCGAGAAUUUCACGACGGAAUCCUUCGGGAUGAAGAUGUGAAAGGAAAGCGGCGGACGGGUGAGUAACGCGUGAGUAACCUGCCUAUCAGAGGGGGACAACAUUUCGAAAGGAAUGCUAAUACCGCAUAAAAUAACAGUACCGCAUGAUACAGUUAUCAAAGAUUUAUCGCUGAUAGAUGGACUCGCG